GUUGUUAUUUUUUUGGAAACCAGAUCAACCCUUUAUUCACUAGAUGACAGUUUCCAAGGGCUGCUCCUACCAUUACCAUAGAGGAUCUGAGGGACACCUGCAUGGCCCAUUACCACCAAUUUAACCAAACUCAUCCAAUUGUCAGAGAGUGUGUCAGGAAUGGGGCUAUAAACCUAGUGUCCCGUGUUCUUGCACAACUGCUUGGAAGGCUGUUUGGAAAACGGAAUUCUGUGGGCAUUAGAAACAAUUUCCUUAAACUACAGCAGGGAACCCAAACACACUUCAGACUUCAGUUUUAAAUAAUGAUAAAGUGAGCCAUCUAAAAAUCACUACCUAACUCCUCUAAAAGCCCAAUGCAUAUAUCCUGGGGGGGGCGGAACCUGGCAGUUCCUGUGACUUGACACUCUUGGCUCCUCCCUCCACCCUUCUACCUGGUGAAAGCUCAAACUAUUAAGACAGAUGAAUAUCUAGCAGAUUUACAGAUUUAAUUAGUAUUCCCUCUACUCUACUCUAUGUAAAUGAGAAGAGUUGCUACCAGAUUGUGCUCUGUGAAGGAACAGAUCCCCAGCUCACCACUGAUGCGCACUCAUCCAGUGCAGAUGUGUGAAGCAAAAACUGAGUGGGAGCGAACAAUAUGUUGCUAGGAUUCAUGCCCAUUGCUGUCGUGGUCACAGCCACCAGCGAAGGUGUCAGUUGUCCCACCAAGCUAGGUUUAAACUCCUCACAAGGAGCAGAUGCUCAACAAAACGGAAGGAAAGGAAGCCACAGCGGACCAAAUCUCUUGCCUCACUUGGUACCAGCUCAUGACUUUUCAGGGUGCUGGCCUUUGACUUCCACCCAGGCCAGAACAAGACACAGAAGAGAAUACGACUUAUCUUGUGGCUAAAAUGCAGUGCCUUCCUACUCUCAGCUCAUCCCCAUUUCUACGUGGACCUGGGGGCCACCUACUGAAGAAAGAGCUCAGGUGAGCCAAGAAGACAACCAAAUGGAAAACACCGCAGAACUUCCACCGUGAGGACCAAUGGGGGAACCUGCAGAUUUGCUCCUGGAAGAGAGUUUGUACCUAAUCAAGGUGCACUGUUCACCAAGGGGUAAGAGCAGAGCAAAACACAUGCUGCCAUAUGGGGGAAUUGAAAUAAAUAGGAAGGGAAGUCCAAGUUGUCCUUAUCCAGCCCUUUCUCCCAGAUUCACAAAUUGAAUAAAUGACUCUCUCUUCCUUGAAUAGAAGUUUGUGAAAGAGAAAUAAACUGAGAAACCCCCUCCUUACCAGGAAUUAUUCGGAAAAUGUUCUGCCUACAAUGAGAGAUGAUAGAAAAAAAUUAAAGGCA
Molecule: long non-coding RNA, 1328 nt
Filed under: Fukomys damarensis (Damara mole-rat)
Lineage: Eukaryota; Metazoa; Chordata; Mammalia; Rodentia; Bathyergidae
Description: lncRNA (ENSFDAG00000025208.1)
Source: RNAcentral